GUCACAGUGCAGCCCUGGACUGGACAGACCAUAGCUGUCUGCAGUGCAGGAAGCCAACUAUUAAGGGGAAACAAAAGUGUUCUUAGGAGUCCUGCUGUCACUGUGGAUUGAGCCGGUGAAGCCCUGAGGGAUUUCAUCGCUGAGGUGGAUGGAGAAGCAGCUGGGGGCCUUGGCUGUAAGGACCCCUAAGGGCCUGAUCUUUUGGCCAGAAGGAGAUUAAAAAGAUGCCCCUCAAGAUGGCUGUGCCUGUCAGCUGCAUGGAGCUUCGUUCAAGUAUUUUCUGAGCCUGAUGGAUUUACAGUGAUCUUCAGUGGUCUGGGGAAUAACGCUGGUGGAACCAUGCACUGGAAUGACACACGCCCGGCACAUUUCAGGAUACUAAAAGUGGUUUUAAGGGAGGCUGUGGCUGAAUGCCUCAUGGAUUCUUACAGCUUGGAUGUCCAUGGGGGACGAAGGACUGCAGCUGGCUGAGAGGGUUGAGAUCUCUGUUUACUUAGAUCUCUGCCAACUUCCUUUGGGUCUCCCUAUGGAAUGUAAGACCCCGACUCUUCCUGGUGAAGCAUCUGAUGCACGUUCCAUCCGGCGCUCAGCUGGGCUUGAGCUGACCAUACUCCCUGGAGCCUUCUCCCGAGGUGCGCGGGUGACCUUGGCACAUACAGCCAUCAUGAUGGUACUUUAAGUGGAGGCUGAAUCAUCUCCCCUUUGAGCUGCUUGGCACGUGGCUCCCUUGGUGUUCCCCUUUUACUGCCAGGACACUGAGAUUUGGAGAGAAUCCUGUUACACCUGGGAUUUAGGCACUUUCAAUCUGAAAAAAUACAUAUCCUUUCAGCACUCUGGACGGACUUGAGAACUGUCCUUACGUGACCUAAAGCUGGAGUAUUUUGAGAUUGGAGAAUUAAGAGUGUGGGCACCCUGGCUUCAAGCUCACGAGAAACCAGGUCGGGAUUUAAACAAUGUUGGGUUAAAGCAAAGUUUCAUAAAGACAGAAUCAAGAAAAAAAGAAAGAGAAA
RNAcentral lists this long non-coding RNA (1010 nucleotides) under Homo sapiens (human). RNAcentral's name for it is "Pvt1 oncogene". The stretch from base 602 to 770 matches the Rfam family "Pvt1 oncogene conserved region 4". Lineage: Eukaryota; Metazoa; Chordata; Mammalia; Primates; Hominidae. The record is from RNAcentral.